This 500-nucleotide ribosomal RNA is filed under the name uncultured bacterium. RNAcentral describes it as "partial 16S ribosomal RNA". It matches the Rfam family "Bacterial small subunit ribosomal RNA", at positions 30 to 523 of the family's 1533-position model. The record is from RNAcentral.
AUUGAACGCUGGCGGAAUGCUUUACACAUGCAAGUCGAACGGCAGCACGGACUCCGGUCUGGUGGCGAGUGGCGAACGGGUGAGUAAUACAUCGGAACGUGCCCAGUCGUGGGGGAUAACGUAGCGAAAGCUACGCUAAUACCGCAUACGAUCUAAGGAUGAAAGCGGGGGAUCGCAAGACCUCGCGCGAUUGGAGCGGCCGAUGGCAGAUUAGGUAGUUGGUGGGGUAAAGGCCUACCAAGCCGACGAGCUGUAGCUGGUCUGAGAGGACGACCAGCCACACUGGGACUGAGACACGGCCCAGACUCCUACGGGAGGCAGCAGUGGGGAAUUUUGGACAAUGGGCGCAAGCCUGAUCCAGCCAUUCCGCGUGCAGGAUGAAGGCCCUCGGGUUGUAAACUGCUUUUGUACGGAACGAAAAGGCUCUGGUUAAUACCCGGGGCUCAUGACGGUACCGUAAGAAUAAGCACCGGCUAACUACGUGCCAGCCGCCGCAGUAA